ACAAACGUUCCAAAACCGAUUGAAAUGUGACAUAAAUAAAGCCUGCGCUCCACCUGGCGGGAGCGAAAUAAUGAGAUUUUAUGUUAACAUAAAACGCGCAGAAUUCCUCCCCUGGAGUGUUAUGGGCGUUUAUUUACCAAUUUCUCUAGUGAUUUAUGUAUUCUCCAGGAGUUAUACCAUGGCCGUUGGUAUUAUUUUCCUCUGCUACCUGGAAAACUGCAAAUCCGUCGAGAAAACCUAGAACAUGAGUAGAAAAAUAGUAAAACUAUUGAAUUUCUAAUGAAUAAAUUAUUGUAGCAUUGAGUUAAUAAAAAAUAAUGCAAAACGAUAAAAUAUUGUCCAGAAAUGUUCAUUUGUCCACUCUAAACAAUUACAAAUGCCCUCAGUCUCCUGAUGAGAAAUAUAUUGAGAGCUUUAAUUCUCAAUAAAAUCGUCGUCUGGUUGCUCUUUGCGGGGAAAAUCCUCGUCAUCUGCACGAUCCGC
This is a long non-coding RNA of Fopius arisanus, 483 nucleotides long. RefSeq lists it as uncharacterized. Lineage: Eukaryota; Metazoa; Arthropoda; Insecta; Hymenoptera; Braconidae. The record is from RefSeq and is a predicted model, not a curated record. The transcript is spliced from 2 exons.